This 394-nucleotide ribosomal RNA is filed under the name uncultured bacterium. RNAcentral's name for it is "bacterial SSU rRNA". It matches the Rfam family "Bacterial small subunit ribosomal RNA", at positions 29 to 426 of the family's 1533-position model. The record is from RNAcentral.
AUUGAACGCUGGCGGAAUGCUUUACACAUGCAAGUCGAGCGGCAGCGCGGGGGCAACCCUGGCGGCGAGCGGCGAACGGGUGAGUAACAUAUCGGAGCGUACCCAGUCGUGGGGGAUAACUAUCCGAAAGGAUAGCUAAUACCGCAUACGUCCUGAGGGAGAAAGCGGGGGAUCGCAAGACCUCGCGCGAUUGGAGCGGCCGAUAUCGGAUUAGCUAGUUGGUGGGGUAAAGGCUCACCAAGGCGACGAUCCGUAGCGGGUCUGAGAGGACGACCCGCCACACUGGAACUGAGACACGGUCCAGACUCCUACGGGAGGCAGCAGUGGGGAAUUUUGGACAAUGGGGGCAACCCUGAUCCAGCCAUUCCGCGUGAGUGAAGAAGGCCUCGGUUGU